RNAcentral lists this small nuclear RNA (144 nucleotides) under Monodelphis domestica (gray short-tailed opossum). RNAcentral describes it as "7SK RNA". It matches the Rfam family "7SK RNA", at positions 172 to 331 of the family's 331-position model. From Rfam's summary of the family: 7SK was discovered as an abundant small nuclear RNA in the mid-70s but a possible function has only recently been suggested. Two independent studies have found that 7SK RNA binds the CDK9/cyclin T complex (known as elongation factor P-TEFb). Lineage: Eukaryota; Metazoa; Chordata; Mammalia; Didelphimorphia; Didelphidae. The record is from Rfam by way of RNAcentral.
ACUAUUCUUAAGACAAGGAUAUAUGAGCUACUAUGUUCCUUUGCUAGAACAAAGUCCUUUUGUAGGUUAAUGUAGGGCAGUCAAUCUUCUAAGAUUCCAGACACAGCCAAAUAAAGUGUUCUUAGUAGUAGUCUGUUUCUCUUU